Molecule: long non-coding RNA, 255 nt
Filed under: Elaeis guineensis (African oil palm)
Lineage: Eukaryota; Viridiplantae; Streptophyta; Magnoliopsida; Arecales; Arecaceae
Description: long non-coding RNA (EGUI_LNC004891)
Source: RNAcentral
UUAUAUCAGCAAGGUAUUUUAAGAUGCAAAGAUGAGGUACAAACAUCUUGAGAAGAUGGCUUAUGUAGCUAUGAUCUUGCUUAGAAUUUGAAGCUAUAUUUUCAAGUUCAUAUCAUUAUGAUAAUGACUGACUAACCUCUCAGGCAAGUGCUGCAAAAAUCAAAAAUAUCAUGUCGGCUUGUUAGGUGAGUGGUGAAGUGAAUUUGACAUCCGCUUUCAACCUUGGCCAAUGAUAAAGGCACAAAUGUUAGCGAC